This 468-nucleotide ribosomal RNA is filed under the name uncultured bacterium. Its description in RNAcentral is "partial 16S ribosomal RNA". It matches the Rfam family "Bacterial small subunit ribosomal RNA", at positions 28 to 507 of the family's 1533-position model. The record is from RNAcentral.
GACGAACGCUGGCGGCGUGCUUAACACAUGCAAGUCGAACGGAAAGGCCCUGCUUUUGUGGGGUGCUCGAGUGGCGAACGGGUGAGUAACACGUGAGUAACCUGCCCUUGACUUUGGGAUAACUUCAGGAAACUGGGGCUAAUACCGGAUAGGAGCUCCUGCUGCAUGGUGGGGGUUGGAAAGUUUCGGCGGUUGGGGAUGGACUCGCGGCUUAUCAGCUUGUUGGUGGGGUAGUGGCUUACCAAGGCGUUGACGGGUAGCCGGCCUGAGAGGGUGACCGGCCACAUUGGGACUGAGAUACGGCCCAGACUCCUACGGGAGGCAGCAGUGGGGAACAUUGCACAAUGGGCGGAAGCCUGAUGCAGCAACGCCGCGUGCGGGAUGACGGCCUUCGGGUUGUAAACCGCUUUCGCCUGUGACGAAGCGUGAGUGACGGUAAUGGGUAAAGAAGCACCGGCUAACUACGUG